This 497-nucleotide ribosomal RNA is filed under the name uncultured bacterium. RNAcentral describes it as "partial 16S ribosomal RNA". It matches the Rfam family "Bacterial small subunit ribosomal RNA", at positions 28 to 507 of the family's 1533-position model. The record is from RNAcentral.
GACGAACGCUGGCGGCGUGCCUAAUACAUGCAAGUUGAGCGGUAAAGGUUGGUUCUUGUACCAUCUGGAAGAGCAGCGCACGGGUGAGUCACGCGUGGAGCAUCUGCCUUUGUGUGGGGGAACACAUUUGGAAACGAAUGAUAAUACCGCAUAAAAACUUUAAACACAAGGUUUAAGGUUGAAAGAUGCAAUUGCAUCACUCAAAGAUGAUCUCGCGUUGUAUUAGUUAGUUGGUGAGGUAAAGGCGCACCAAGGCGAGGAUACAUUGCCGACCUGAACGGGUGGGCAGCCAGCUUGGGACGGAGACAGGCCCCAAACGCCUACGGGAGGCAGCAGGAGGGAAUCUUGGGCAAGGGGCGGAAGUCUGACCGAGAAACGCCGCGUGAGGGUAGAAGGUUGUCGGGUCGUAAAACUCUGUUGGUGGGGAAGAAAGUUGUUGAGAGUGGAAAGCUGAUCGAGUGACGGUAACGACCCAAAAAGCAACGGCUAACUACGUG